RNAcentral lists this long non-coding RNA (2063 nucleotides) under Mytilus galloprovincialis (Mediterranean mussel). The record is from RNAcentral. Lineage: Eukaryota; Metazoa; Mollusca; Bivalvia; Mytilida; Mytilidae.
UAAAAAAAAACUCUGAUAUUUUAAAAAUGUUUUAUUUCCCACAUGGUUCGGAAAGUUCUAAAUAAUAUCUAAAUCUAGGAAUUCUUAAGGAAUCACAGAAAUGAUAGUAAAUGAAUGAUAAAGAAAAACCACUCAACCAUAUUAAACUAAAGCACCAUUAUUUUUCUCUUAUAUGAGUUUACAUGCAGUUGAAUCUUGUUUUAUAAAGAGCUCCAAAGUAAGUCAUCUUAGCUUUGUUUCAAAUUUUAAUACAUCUAGACUGUCAAUUUUAGAAUAUAUAUCUGCGAUAAUAUGUGGUUGAAAUUUGAAAGGUAACUAAUCAAGUUAAAGCAAGUUUUCAUAAUGACUAAAUCACUAUAAUUAUGAAAAUGUUUCAUUUUUUUUACUUUACAUUUAUCAAACCAUCGCAAUUAUCAGAACAUUUUCGCCAUUUUAUAGUACAGACACUGUGUGAAAGUUUAUAGACCUUAAUGGUGAUAUUUCACAGUAAAUGUUAUGAAUUGUGGGUAAUUUUACACUAAAAAUUAUGAUAUAAAAUGGUGUGUACUGUGUAUCUUUAAAAGGGCAUCCUAUACUUUACUGUUCUUAAAUAUAGGAAUGCUGACAAUCUUGAUCAAAACUUAAAAACCGAUAUUAAGACUUAAGUUUCAUCUUUAUUUAGUACUAGAAAAGGUUUCUGACAAGAUUCAACUGUAUUUACAUAUAUAUUAAUCUAUAAAUGUUUAUUUACAUUUUUAUAUACAUUUAUGUACAUAUCACUUUCAAAUGCUCAGAUUAAUUCUUUUCUAUAAAUUAGUUUAACUCUAAAAUAUACAUACAAAAACAUCUAUCUUUAUUCUUAGUUCUGUGUCGAAUAAGAAAAACUGUAGUUUUCAAAAGUCAUUAGUAGAAUUAUACAUAAUUUAAACUUUUUUCUUCAAACUAUGUAAAUGCAUCAAUAUUUGUCUUUUCUGAAAGCUUAUGAUAACCAUGAAGUUUUCAAAAACAUAAACUUUAUUUGCAUUGUAUUUUUGAAUAAAUGAAUAAUUGAUUUUAUAACAUAAUUACUGAAUGAAAAAGUACAAAGUAUAUAAAAUAUGCACUGUAUUAAAAUUAUGAAAUUUGCAUAGCACUGUGCCAAAUUUAAUCUUAUUAUGAAAUUUUUCGCAUACUGAGCAUAUUGGAUUUCAUUUCUUUCCAUUUUUUUUGGCAGUUAUAUUCUUUUAUACAUAUAUACAUAACAAAUAUAUCAACAAGCAACAGAUAUAACAAAACAAUAACAAAAUACAUUUAACAUUAAAGCAUGACGAAAUGAUGAAUAUUCAUAUAGACAUAUCCUACAUUUAUGGAUAUAUGAUGUUUGGGGAAAAAUCGUUGCAGAUAUAUGAAUGCUCAUUGACUUAUGCAGAUGUCUUGAUAUUGCAGUUUUGGCUAUUAUAAGUUUUGAAUAUUUUCUUAAUUCUAUUUUUCAGUGUAAAUUAAGCAAGGUUACCAAAUGUAUGUGUUUAGUUUGUAACUUAUAUAUUUUAACUUUCAUAAAAUGACAAUUAAUAAUGAAGGGCCAUUACUAAAAAUCCUUUAAAACAAAAUUUUGUAAAUGGAAAUGAAUAAUAAUAAUGAUAACUCUUCAGUGGCAGAUCCAAGGGGGGGUUCUGGGGGUUGGAACCCCCCUUUUUUUGUUGACGAUCAAUGCAUUUGAAUGGGAGCAUAUAGUUGGAACCCCCCUUUACUCUUGGUUGGGACCACCCUCUCCCUCCUUUUUUAAAAUGGCUGGAAACGCCCCUGCUCUUACAUGAAAUUUAGGAUGAUAUACAAUCAACACUUACAUGUUUGAUACAUAAGUGAAAGUAGCAUAUUAAUUUUCUUUGUGAAUCUAUUGAUAUUGUAUUUAAAAGAUAUAUUAUAACUAAAUGAUAAAAAUGAUGAUUGAACUUAAAUGGAACUUCUAAUUUUCAUAAUGACAAUUGAAUGUAAUAUGUAAGUUACAAAAUAAUAUCAUCAAGUCAUAUUUUAGUCUGAUAAAAUUUCAAUAAAUAAGGAAAAUUUCAGAAAUUGAAUAAUAUUUUAACUAUUUUUUUUAUUUA